Ornithorhynchus anatinus (platypus) is the source of this 652-nucleotide long non-coding RNA. RefSeq lists it as uncharacterized. The record is from RefSeq and is a predicted model, not a curated record. Lineage: Eukaryota; Metazoa; Chordata; Mammalia; Monotremata; Ornithorhynchidae. The transcript is spliced from 3 exons.
UAACAACUUUAGGGGAGGGCUUAGAGAGGGAGAGGUCCACGUCAGGCUAUCCUGCCAUCCAUCUGGGGUACUGAUUGAACACCUGACCCUAUCCGGAGCACUGUCCUAGGCCUCUGGGAGAGCAGAGUGGAGAAUAUAUAUAAAAAAAGAAGUUGAUCCCCACUGGGAAGAUUCCCCUUCAAUCCUGCUCCCAGCCCGACAAUGCCCCCGAGGGGCGGGAAGAUCCACUGUGACCCGGGGAUGCUUGGUUGCCAUGGAUACCGGUGUGAUGCAAGAACUGUGGUCCCUAGCACUGAAACAAUGUUCCAGCGUCCGAAGCCCAGUCUGGAGGGGAAAGGGAAGAGAUCAGUGAAAACUGGAUGAAAAGGCACCAACCUGGCUCGGCCUCCUCCGGGCGCCGGGCUCCGAGCGGGCCUCGGGAGGUUGGGACGAGAGGAUGGACAGACGGAAGGAUGGACGGGAUCAGGGAUACGCCUCCGCAGAACUCCGACAAGGCAAGUUUCAGGCCACUGGACUAAAUCAAUUUCUCUGGAGAGAAGGGAUGGGUUAGGGGUGUCUUCUAUAUUACCGUCGUGGCCCACUCUCCCAAGCGCGUAGCACAGUGUUCUGCACACCGUGAGCGCUCAAUAAAUGCCACUGAUCGAUUGAUUCU